GGAGCGGCACGGGUCUGGUGGUCCAUCCGGUCUUCAAAACCGGCAGGGCGUGGAAGCCCCACGCUUGGAAGGUUCGAUUCCUUCGCCGCUUCG
Molecule: transfer RNA, 93 nt
Filed under: Solirubrobacterales bacterium
Lineage: Bacteria; Bacillati; Actinomycetota; Thermoleophilia; Solirubrobacterales
Description: tRNA-Sec
Rfam family: Selenocysteine transfer RNA
Source: RNAcentral